UGAGGAAUAUUGGUCAAUGGACGCAAGCCUGAACCAGCCAAGUAGCGUGCAGGAAGACGGCCCUAUGGGUUGUAAACUGCUUUUAUACGAGAAUAAUUUGAUGCACGUGUGCGUUAUUGCAUGUAUCGUAUGAAUAAGGACCGGCUAAUUCCGUGCCAGCAGCCGCGGUAAUACGGAAGGUCCAGGCGUUAUCCGGAUUUAUUGGGUUUAAAGGGAGUGUAGGCGGUUUGUUAAGCGUGUUGUGAAAUUUAGAUGCUCAACAUUUAACUUGCAGCGCGAACUGUCAGACUUGAGUACACGCAACGUAUGCGGAAUUCAUGGUGUAGCGGUGAAAUGCUUAGAUAUCAUGAAGAACUCCGAUUGCGAAGGCAGCAUACGGGAGUGUAACUGACGCUUAAGCUCGAAGGUGCGGGUAUCGAACAGGAUUAGAUACCCUGGUAGUCCGCACAGUAAACGAUGGAUGCCCGCUGUUAGCGCCUGGCGUUAGCGGCUAAGCGAAAGCAUUAAGCAUCCCACCUGGGGAGUACGCCGGCNACGGU
This 539-nucleotide ribosomal RNA is filed under the name uncultured bacterium. RNAcentral describes it as "bacterial SSU rRNA". It matches the Rfam family "Bacterial small subunit ribosomal RNA", at positions 355 to 895 of the family's 1533-position model. The record is from RNAcentral.